RNAcentral lists this ribosomal RNA (447 nucleotides) under uncultured bacterium. RNAcentral's name for it is "bacterial SSU rRNA". It matches the Rfam family "Bacterial small subunit ribosomal RNA", at positions 328 to 792 of the family's 1533-position model. The record is from RNAcentral.
GUGCCAGACUCCUACGGGAGGCAGCAGUGGGGGAUAUUGCACAAUGGGGGAAACCCUGAUGCAGCGACGCCGCGUGAGUGAAGAAGUAAUUCGUUACGUAAAGCUCUAUCAGCAGGGAAGAAAAUGACGGUACCUGACUAAGAAGCCCCGGCUAACUACGUGCCAGCAGCCGCGGUAAUACGUAGGGGGCAAGCGUUAUCCGGAAUUACUGGGUGUAAAGGGAGCGCAGACGGCAGUGCAAGUCUGGAGUGAAAGCCCGUGGCUCAACCCCGGGACUGCAUUUGAAACUGUCAGGCUGGAGUGCAGGAGAGGUAAGUGGAAUUCCUAGUGUAGCGGUGAAAUGCGUAGAUAUUAGGAGGAACACCAGUGGCGAAGGCGGCUUACUGGACUGUAACUGACGUUGAGGCUCGAAAGCGUGGGGAGCAAACAGGAUUAGAUACCCUAGUA